CUGGUCUGAGAGGAUGAUCAGCCACACUGGGACUGAGACACGGCCCAGACUCCUACGGGAGGCAGCAGUGGGGAAUUUUCCGCAAUGGGCGAAAGCCUGACGGAGCAACGCCGCGUGAGGGACGAAGGCCUCUGGGCUGUAAACCUCUUUUCUCAAGGAAGAAGAUAUGACGGUACUUGAGGAAUAAGCCACGGCUAAUUCCGUGCCAGCAGCCGCGGUAAUACGGGAGUGGCAAGCGUUAUCCGGAAUUAUUGGGCGUAAAGCGUCCGCAGGCGGCUUUUCAAGUCUGCUGUUAAAGCGUGGAGCCUAACUCCAUCAUGGCAGUGGAAACUGAAAGGCUUGAGUAUGGUAGGGGCAGAGGGAAUUCCCGGUGUAGCGGUGAAAUGCGUAGAUAUCGGGAAGAACACCAGUGGCGAAGGCGCUCUGCUGGGCCAUUACUGACGCUCAUGGACGAAAGCCAGGGGAGCGAAAGGGAUUAGAUACCCCUGUAGUCCUGGCCGUAAACGAUGAACACUAGGUGUCGGGGGAAUCGACCCCUUCGGUGUCGUAGCUAACGCGUUAAGUGUUCCGCCUGGGGAGUACGCACGCAAGUGUGAAACUCAAAGGAAUUGACGGGGGCCCGCACAAGCGGUGGAGUAUGUGGUUUAAUUCGAUGCAACGCGAAGAACCUUACCAGGGUUUGACAUCCUGCGAACCUCUUAGAAAUUUGAGGGUGCCUUCGGGAAUGCAGUGACAGGUGGUGCAUGGCUGUCGUCAGCUCGUGUCGUGAGAUGUUGGGUUAAGUCCCGCAACGAGCGCAACCCACGUUUUUAGUUGCCAGCAUUUAGUUGGGCACUCUAGAAAGACCGCCGGUGAUAAACCGGAGGAAGGUGUGGAUGACGUCAAGUCAUCAUGCCCCUUACACCCUGGGCUACACACGUACUACAAUGCUACGGACAAAGGGCAGCAAACUCGCGAGAGCUAGCAACUCCCAUAAACCGUGGCUCAGUUCAGAUCGUAGGCUGCAACUCGCCUACGUGAAGUAGGAAUCGCUAGUAAUCGCAGGUCAGCAUACUGCGGUGAAUACGUUCCCGGGCCUUGUACACACCGCCCGUCACACCAUGGAAGUUGGCCAUGCCCGAAGUCGUUACUCCAA
This 1135-nucleotide ribosomal RNA is filed under the name uncultured marine bacterium. Its description in RNAcentral is "bacterial SSU rRNA". It matches the Rfam family "Bacterial small subunit ribosomal RNA", at positions 287 to 1438 of the family's 1533-position model. The record is from RNAcentral.